RNAcentral lists this small RNA (125 nucleotides) under Marmota monax (woodchuck). The record is from RNAcentral. Lineage: Eukaryota; Metazoa; Chordata; Mammalia; Rodentia; Sciuridae.
GCUGGGUGUGGUGGUGCACAUCUGUCAUCCCAGAGGCUUGGGAGGCUGAGGCAGGAGUAUCGUGAGUUCAAAGCCAGCCUCAGUAAAAGCGAGGCCCUAAGCAACUCAGUGAGACCCUGUCUCUA